RNAcentral lists this ribosomal RNA (437 nucleotides) under Labrus bergylta (ballan wrasse). RNAcentral's name for it is "bacterial LSU rRNA". Lineage: Eukaryota; Metazoa; Chordata; Actinopteri; Labriformes; Labridae. The record is from RNAcentral.
UCGGGUGGGUUGCCGACAUCGCCGCUGACCCCUGACGCCUGUUGUACGUGAGCCGAUCCCCGCCCGGGCGACGCGACGCGUCAGGGCGCACUGAGGACAGUCCGCCCAGGUUGACAGUCGCGACGGGAGCAGGGGGCCCCGUCCCUCGCCAAACGACGAGAGAAGACGCAGCGAGCACUUAGUCCACGGCCCCGGGAAGCCGGCCGAGGUCCGGGCGGGGAGCGCUGUAAAGCUCACGGCCGAGACCGCGAGCCACCUUCGCCCCGAGCCUUUCCAAGCCGACCUAGAGCCGGUCGCGGCGCAGGUCGGAGAAAAUGCGCCCGGCGACGGGCCAGCACAGCAAGGGGAGGGGUCCCACGAGGGGAUCCCCACACACCGAGCGGCCGUCCCNUACCCGCCGAGUUGAAUCCCCCGGGCAGACUGCGCGGACCCCACCC